Molecule: ribosomal RNA, 199 nt
Filed under: uncultured bacterium
Lineage: Bacteria
Description: partial 16S ribosomal RNA
Rfam family: Bacterial small subunit ribosomal RNA
Source: RNAcentral
ACGCUCGACACCUACGGGAGGCCAGCAGUGGGGAAUAUUGCACAAUGGGGGAAACCCUGAUGCAGCGACGCCGCGUGAGCGAAGAAGUAUUUCGGUAUGUAAAGCUCUAUCAGCAGGGAAGAAACUGACGGUACCUGACUAAGAAGCACCGGCUAAAUACGUGUCAGCAGCCGCGGUAAUCUGAGCGGGCUGGCAAGGC